CAGAAGAAAAUGGGCAACCGGGGAUCAGAUGUGAUUCAGCACCAGACACGCUUCCACUUCUCCUGGACCUGUUCGCUGCCUACUCUCCCUAGAUUCCACAACUCCUCCCCUUCUCCUGCACCUCAGCCAUGGGAGAUCUCUGCCCUUCCCAUCUGCAAACUGUCUCACCAGCCGCUUCUCCUUUGCCAAUUCGGGCUGGAUUCCUCUUGUUUCAGCUGCUCCCUCUAUUUCCUCCUGGACAAGGAUCAGGACACAUCUUCCUAUUCUGCCACCAUUUUGUCCAUCCUGAAGACUACUAAUUUUAAUAAAUGAAUUCAGAAAUG
Molecule: long non-coding RNA, 323 nt
Organism: Eptesicus fuscus (big brown bat)
Lineage: Eukaryota; Metazoa; Chordata; Mammalia; Chiroptera; Vespertilionidae
Exons: 2
Source: RefSeq, a predicted model, not a curated record